Molecule: ribosomal RNA, 502 nt
Filed under: Acrobeloides sp. Sourhope farm
Lineage: Eukaryota; Metazoa; Nematoda; Chromadorea; Rhabditida; Cephalobidae
Description: SSU rRNA
Rfam family: Eukaryotic small subunit ribosomal RNA
Source: RNAcentral
UUAAGCCAUGCAUGUCUAAGUAUAAACGAUUUAAUCGUGAAACCGCGAAUGGCUCAUUAUAACAGCUAUAAUUUACUUGAUCUUGACACAAUCCUACUUGGAUAACUGUGGUAAUUCUAGAGCUAAUACAUGCAUUAAAGCUCUGACCUCACGGGAAGAGUGCAUUUAUUAGAACAAAACCAAGCGGCUUCGGCUGUUUCUGGUUGACUCAUAGUAACUGAGCUGAUCGCAUGGUCUUGCACCGGCGACGUGUCUUUCAAGUAUCUGCCGUAUCAACUUUCGAUGGUAGUGUAUCUGACUACCAUGGUGAUCACGCGUAACGGAGAAUAAGGGUUCGGCUCCGGAGAGUUCGCCUGAGAAAUCGCGAACACAUCUAAGGAAGGCAGCAGGCGCGAAAAUUACCCACUCUCAGCACGAGGAGGUAGUGACGAAAAAUAACGAGACCGUUCUCUUAUGAGGCCGGUCAUCGGAAUGGGUACAAUUUAAACCCUUUAACGAGUAU